UUGUCGCCUGUCACUUCUAGUGUGCAGUCACGUCUCCGAUCGGGCGACUGGUUGGGUGCUGCUCCGUGCUCUGUGCACGCUGCUGUGGGUUGAUCGGCAGUGGUGCAUGCUGGCGGCUGCCUGAAGCUCUCUUCCUUUUCCUCCUCUCUUGCUGUAGGCCGGUGGUGGUGGUGCUGGUGGUCUGGUGGUGGCAUCCUCCCGUCUUGUCUUGCUGUGUCCCUGGGAGCGGGUUUUCGUCACUGAGAGUGUCUGCCACGUGUGCUUGGUGAUUAUUGUGGUGUUUUUCUUUGGUGGAUCCCUCCCCUGCCCUAGCCUUCGUCCACUCACUUUGGCCUCAGCCCUGUUAAGGUUCUUUUCCCCCCAUUUUUGUUGGUGUGAAUGAGUUUUAUUGAAGUUUUUAGGAUUAUUGUUUAAUAAAAGAAACAUAUGUUAACUUGGAA
Solea solea (common sole) is the source of this 440-nucleotide long non-coding RNA. RefSeq lists it as uncharacterized. The transcript has 2 exons. The record is from RefSeq and is a predicted model, not a curated record. Lineage: Eukaryota; Metazoa; Chordata; Actinopteri; Pleuronectiformes; Soleidae.